UUAUAGUUGCGCAGGCACUUUGGUGACUCUAGAGAACCUUGGGCCAAUAGCACGUCCCUGUGAUGGCGACUUUGCAUUCGGAUGUCUACCCUAUCAACUUUCGAUGUCACUUUCUGCGCCUACCAUGGUGACCACGGGUAACGGGGAAUCAGGGUUGGAUUCCGGAGAGGGAACCUGAAAAACUGCUACCACAUCCAAGGAAGGCAGCAGAUGCGCAAUUUACCCACUCCCGACACGGGGAGGUAGUGACGA
Molecule: non-coding RNA, 252 nt
Organism: Pelobates cultripes (western spadefoot toad)
Lineage: Eukaryota; Metazoa; Chordata; Amphibia; Anura; Pelobatidae
Source: the annotation of a GenBank genome assembly